CCUUAUACACACCGCCCGUCACACCAUGGGAGUGGGUUGUACCAGAAGUAGCUAGUCUAACCUUCGGGAGGACGGUUACCACGGUGUGAUUCAUGACUGGGGUGAAGUCGUAAACAAGGUACC
Molecule: ribosomal RNA, 123 nt
Filed under: uncultured bacterium
Lineage: Bacteria
Description: partial 16S ribosomal RNA
Rfam family: Bacterial small subunit ribosomal RNA
Source: RNAcentral